Python bivittatus (Burmese python) is the source of this 459-nucleotide non-coding RNA. Lineage: Eukaryota; Metazoa; Chordata; Lepidosauria; Squamata; Pythonidae. The record is from RefSeq and is a predicted model, not a curated record.
AUUGGCGGAUAUCAAUAAAACUGAUAAUUGAUUAUUGAUCAUCAUUCAGCAAUAGAACUACUUUAAGCAAUUAUUCAUGGCUGAUAGGAAGUGGAGACUGGGAGGCAGAGAUCACCCAAAAGCUAUCUGAUAAUUCCAUGUAUAGACUAGAAAUUGAAACGAGAUCUUCAGACUCAAAGGAUGAACUCUGGACCACAAUGGCUAGAACAGAUAACGGAAUAAAGAUGAAAGUCAGUUGGGAUUAAAGAAUUGAAUGUCUAUCAAAAUGGAAUCCUGCAAAGGCAAGAUCAUGGGGUGGGGGGAUGUCAAAAACAGCAGUAUGAAAGUUGUGGCACUGCAAUAUCAACACCCAUAUAAAAGGGGCGGGGCUUGUACUGUGAUGCUGUGCCUGCCCUCUUGCCUAUUUUGAUUCCUCCUGUGUAUGCCACUGCUCAUGUACACUAUGCCUGAUUUGAGAUA